This 407-nucleotide ribosomal RNA is filed under the name uncultured bacterium. RNAcentral's name for it is "partial 16S ribosomal RNA". It matches the Rfam family "Bacterial small subunit ribosomal RNA", at positions 28 to 526 of the family's 1533-position model. The record is from RNAcentral.
GACGAACGCUGACGGCGUGCUUAACACAUGCAAGUCGAAGGGAGUGGCGAACGGGUGAGUAACACGUGAGUAACCUGCCCUUUUCUUUGGGAUAAGCCUGGGAAACUGGGUCUAAUACUGGAUGGAUUGGGAUGGGCUCGCGGCUUAUCGGCUGGUUGGUGGGGGGGUGGCUUACCAAGGCUUUGAGGGGUGGCCGGCCUGGGAGGGGGGUGGUUCAACCUGGGCGGGGAAUACGGCCCAGACUCCUACGGGGGGAGGAAGUGGGGAUAUUGCACAAUGGACGAAAGUCUGAUGCAGCGACGUCGUGUGGGGGAUGAAGGCCUUCGGGUUGUAAACUCCUUUCGCCCGCGGAAUGGUAGUGGGUAAAGAAGCGCCGGCUAACUACGUGCCAGCAGCCGCGGUAAUUC